UACGGAGGAUCCAAGCGUUAUCCGGAUUUAUUGGGUUUAAAGGGUGCGUAGGCGGAUAAGUACGUCAGUGGUGAAAGCCUGCAGCUUAACUGUAGAAUUGCCAUUGAUACUGCUUGUCUUGAGGACAGUUGAGGUGGGCGGAAUAUGACAUGUAGCGGUGAAAUGCUUAGAUAUGUCAUAGAACACCGAUUGCGAAGGCAGCUCGCUAAACUGUAUCUGACGCUGAGGCACGAAAGCGUGGGGAUCAAACAGG
RNAcentral lists this ribosomal RNA (253 nucleotides) under uncultured bacterium. RNAcentral's name for it is "partial 16S ribosomal RNA". It matches the Rfam family "Bacterial small subunit ribosomal RNA", at positions 524 to 776 of the family's 1533-position model. The record is from RNAcentral.